CACUAUCUUGUGGCUGUCGGUCCCGGGUGCCACAAGUGCUUGGGUUAAUAGGGAAGCCGGUUCGAAUCCGGCACUGCCCCGCAGCGGUAUGUGGAAACGACCGCCGUCAUAGAGCACUGGGACCUGGGGUCCCGGGAAGCGACGGCCAGUAGGAGAGGCGCCCGCCUCGCGUCCACGAGUCCGAAGACCUGCCGACAGCCGCGCGAAGCA
This 210-nucleotide non-coding RNA is filed under the name Arenimonas donghaensis. The record is from RNAcentral. Lineage: Bacteria; Pseudomonadati; Pseudomonadota; Gammaproteobacteria; Lysobacterales; Lysobacteraceae. RNAcentral also lists the same sequence under 1 other name.